Molecule: ribosomal RNA, 198 nt
Filed under: uncultured Marinobacter sp.
Lineage: Bacteria; Pseudomonadati; Pseudomonadota; Gammaproteobacteria; Pseudomonadales; Marinobacteraceae
Description: partial 16S ribosomal RNA
Rfam family: Bacterial small subunit ribosomal RNA
Source: RNAcentral
ACUCCUACGGGAGGCAGCAGUGGGGAAUAUUGCACAAUGGGCGCAAGCCUGAUGCAGCCAUGCCGCGUGUAUGAAGAAGGGCUUCGGGUUGUAAAGUACUUUCAGCGGGGAGGAAGGCGAUAAGGUUAAUAACCUUGUCGAUUGACGUUACCCGCAGAAGAAGCACCGGCUAACUCCGUGCCAGCAGCCGCGGUAAUA